GCUAAAUAUGGCGAUAUCAUCGAGGUAGGCACAGGUAUACUCCUGGAGACCCUCUAGCAACCGGUCCACCAUCCUCUGGAAGGUGGCUGGGGCAUUCUUCAUCCCUAAUGGCAUUACCCGAAAUUGGUACAGGCGAAAUGGGGUGACAAAGGCUGGCUUUGGAAUAGCCUCCGCGGCUAGGAGUAUUUGCCAAUACCCCUUGCACAGAUCUUUGCUGGUGAGGUAUCUGCCCUGAGCCAUUUUGUUUAACAGCUCGUCAAUGCGAGGCAUGGGGUAGGCAUCUGAGACCAUCUUGUCAUUGAGCCUCCGGUAGUCCACACAGAACCGGGUGGUACCGUCUUGCUUGGGGGACCAGCCCUACCG
Non-coding RNA from Pelobates cultripes (western spadefoot toad), 363 nucleotides. Lineage: Eukaryota; Metazoa; Chordata; Amphibia; Anura; Pelobatidae. The record is from the annotation of a GenBank genome assembly.